Molecule: ribosomal RNA, 253 nt
Filed under: uncultured bacterium
Lineage: Bacteria
Description: partial 16S ribosomal RNA
Rfam family: Bacterial small subunit ribosomal RNA
Source: RNAcentral
UACGGAGGGAGCUAGCGUUGUUCGGAAUUACUGGGCGUAAAGCGCACGUAGGCGGCUUUGUAAGUCAGAGGUGAAAGCCCGGGGCUCAACCCCGGAUGUGCCUUUGAGACUGCAGGGCUUGAACGUCGGAGAGGUGAGUGGAAUUCCGAGUGUAGAGGUGAAAUUCGUAGAUAUUCGGAGGAACACCAGUGGCGAAGGCGGCUCACUGGCUCGGUACUGACGCUGAGGUGCGAAAGCGUGGGGAGCAAACAGG